AUUUAUUUCAUUUAUUUGAUAAGCUUUCAGUGCUUUGUCUAUUGAUCACCUGUUGUCCCAAUUUUCAUUGAUGCGGAAUGUCAUUCUUCAACAUGCUGAUACUUGAAUUCUUUCAAUCACUAUUAGUUGAAUCACUGUUUUAACUCUCAGUCAGUUGUGACUAGAUGGGAGUAGCCUGGCGCUUCCUCUUCUGGUACGUAGGCUGUACUGUCAGCUGGCGCAGAUGCAAGUUGCCUUCAAUGAAGACUUUGCUGGUCACAUGGUCUGUGAGCGUUAGGUAAUUGUUACUCCGCGGUGUUUCCUCAAUGACACUCUAUUUCGUAUAUGGAGCCCUGGCCAAAAGUAGUGCACUAUAUAGGGAAUAGGGCUCUGGCUAAAAGUAGUGCACUAUAUAGGGAAUAGGGCUCUGGCUAAAAGUAGUGCACUACAUAGGGAAUAGGGCCCUGGCCAAAAGUAGUGCACUAUAUAGGGAAUAGGGCUCUGGUCUAAAGUAGUGCACUAUAUAGGGAACAUAUGGAGCCCUGGCCAAAAGUAGUGCACUAUAAAGGGAAUAGGGCUCUGGUUUAAAGUAGUGCACUCUAUAGGGAAUAGGGCUCUGGUCUAAAGUAGUGCACUAUAUAGGGAAUAGGGCUCUGGUCUAAAGUAGUGCACUAUAUAGGGAAUAGGGCUCUGGUCUAAAGUAGUGCACUAUAUAGGGAAUAGGGCUCUCUGGUCUAAAGUAGUGCACUAUAUAGGGAAUAGGACUUUGGUCUAAAGUAGUGCACUAUAUAGGGAAUAGGGCUCUGGUCUAUAGUAGUGUACUAUAUAGGGAAUAGGGCUCUGGUCUAUAGUAGUGUACUAUAUAGGGAAUAGGGCUCUGGUCUAAAGUAGUGCACUAUAUAGGGAAUAGGGCUCUGGUCUAAAGUAGUGCACUAUAUAGGGAAUAGGGCUCUGGUCUAUAGUAGUGUACUAUAUAGGGAAUAGGGCUCUGGUCUAAAGUAGUGUACUAUAUAGGGAAUAGAGUGGCAUUUAGGAUGAAGGGCUGGCUUUGAGGGACCGUGAACCUUCCUUCUCGGAAGGAAAAUACCACAUUGACCUAGCAGCUGAAUUUAAAUGAUCAACUAUCAAUUAAGGGCCAACCAUGCUGAAGCAUCAUUUACAAAGAAGGCAACAGUUAGCUAAUGAACACAAACAACUCGAAGGGAGUAAGAAACAGAAAGAUUCCUUCCUGCUUGCUAUUGUAUAAGGGUUUCUUGUGUCAUCCAGCAUGAGAUGUUUAUUUCCAGGAAGGACAACAACAACAACAACAACAACGCUUGUAAAUAAUGUAUUGUAAUAAUUUUAAGCACAAAUGUAAUACAGUUUUAUUGUGUUAACAAUGUGUGCAUUCAGUGUCUUCCUUUUCCUCUGCAAACUGUCAUAUAGCGCUCUGGAAAGAAAUGUCCC
Molecule: long non-coding RNA, 1425 nt
Organism: Oncorhynchus tshawytscha (Chinook salmon)
Lineage: Eukaryota; Metazoa; Chordata; Actinopteri; Salmoniformes; Salmonidae
Source: Ensembl